This 211-nucleotide small nucleolar RNA is filed under the name Penaeus monodon (black tiger shrimp). RNAcentral describes it as "small nucleolar RNA SNORA53". It matches the Rfam family "Small nucleolar RNA SNORA53". Rfam says of the family: The snoRNA ACA53 belongs to the H/ACA family of pseudouridylation guide snoRNAs. Lineage: Eukaryota; Metazoa; Arthropoda; Malacostraca; Decapoda; Penaeidae. The record is from RNAcentral.
AGCAUGUUCCUUAGAUCCACCUGAUGAGGCUUUUGCCUACCAACUUUACCGGUUGGGUAUCAUCGGUGAAUGAGUCAUUGACGUGCAAGACAACGGCACCUCCUUCUGUUUGCCACAUCUCCCUGAGCACACCUUGCUAGUUCACUCUGGCUGGAAGUCAUUUCUGACUGUUGUGAUAAUGUUAGGGAGAUAGGCAGGUGUUGGGGACAAA